RNAcentral lists this ribosomal RNA (842 nucleotides) under uncultured bacterium. RNAcentral describes it as "bacterial SSU rRNA". It matches the Rfam family "Bacterial small subunit ribosomal RNA", at positions 21 to 904 of the family's 1533-position model. The record is from RNAcentral.
GGCUCAGGAUGAACGCUGGCGGUAUGCUUAACACAUGCAAGUCGAACGGAAUGCUUAGGCAUUUAGUGGCGGACGGGUGAGUAACGCGUGAGAAUUUGGCUUCAGGUCGGGGACAACAGUUGGAAACGACUGCUAAUACCGGAUAUGCCGGAAGGUGAAAGAUUUAUUGCCUGAAGAUAAGCUCGCGUCUGAUUAGCUAGUUGGUGGGGUAAGAGCCUACCAAGACGACGAUCAGUAGCUGGUCUGAGAGGAUGAUCAGCCACACUUGGACUGAGACACGGCCCAGACUCCUACGGGAGGCAGCAGUGGGGAAUUUUCCGCAAUGGGCGAAAGCCUGACGGAGCAAUACCGCGUGAGGGAGGAAGGCUCUUGGGUCGUAAACCUCUUUUCUCAGGGAAGAAAAAAAUGACGGUACCUGAGGAAUAAGCAUCGGCUAACUCCGUGCCAGCAGCCGCGGUAAUACGGAGGAUGCAAGCGUUAUCCGGAAUGAUUGGGCGUAAAGGGUCUGUAGGUGGUGCUGUAAGUCUGCUGUUAAAGAGUCACGCUCAACGUGAUAAAAGCGGUGGAAACUACAGGACUAGAGUGCGGUCGGGGCAGAAGGAAUUCCUGGUGUAGCGGUGAAAUGCGUAGAUAUCAGGAAGAACACCGGUGGCGAAAGCGUUCUGCUAGUCCGCAACUGACACUGAGGGACGAAAGCUAGGGGAGCGAAUGGGAUUAGAUACCCCAGUAGUCCUAGCCGUAAACGAUGGAUACUAGGCGUGGCUUGUAUCGACCCGAGCCGUGCCGGAGCUAACGCGUUAAGUAUCCCGCCUGGGGAGUACGCACGNCAGUGUAAAACUCAA